Podarcis lilfordi (Lilford's wall lizard) is the source of this 69-nucleotide non-coding RNA. The record is from the annotation of a GenBank genome assembly. NCBI's taxonomy places the organism in Eukaryota, Metazoa, Chordata, Lepidosauria, Squamata, Lacertidae.
GGAGCUGUAGCUUAGUGGUAGAGCAUCUGCUUUGUACACAGGUUGUGGGUUCAAUUCCCAUCAUCUCCA